GAUGAACGCUGGCGGCGUGCUUAACACAUGCAAGUCGAACGAAGCACUUUAACCUGAUUCUUCGGAUGAAGGUUUUUGUGACUGAGUGGCGGACGGGUGAGUAACGCGUGGGUAACCUGCCUCAUACAGGGGGAUAACAGUUAGAAAUGACUGCUAAUACCGCAUAAGACCACAGAGCCGCAUGGCUCGGUGGGAAAAACUCCGGUGGUAUGAGAUGGACCCGCGUCUGAUUAGGUAGUUGGUGGGGUAACGGCCUACCAAGCCAACGAUCAGUAGCCGACCUGAGAGGGUGACCGGCCACAUUGGGACUGAGACACGGCCCAAACUCCUACGGGAGGCAGCAGUGGGGAAUAUUGCACAAUGGGGGAAACCCUGAUGCAGCGACGCCGCGUGAGCGAAGAAGUAUUUCGGUAUGUAAAGCUCUAUCAGCAGGGAAGAAAAUGACGGUACCUGACUAAGAAGCACCGGCUAAAUACGUGCCAGCAGCCGCGGUAAUACGUAUGGUGCAAGCGUUAUCCGGAUUUACUGGGUGUAAAGGGAGCGUAGACGGCUGUGUAAGUCUGAAGUGAAAGCCCGGGGCUCAACCCCGGGACUGCUUUGGAAACUAUGCAGCUAGAGUGUCGGAGAGGUAAGUGGAAUUCCCAGUGUAGCGGUGAAAUGCGUAGAUAUUGGGAGGAACACCAGUGGCGAAGGCGGCUUACUGG
This 704-nucleotide ribosomal RNA is filed under the name uncultured Lachnospiraceae bacterium. RNAcentral's name for it is "bacterial SSU rRNA". It matches the Rfam family "Bacterial small subunit ribosomal RNA", at positions 28 to 732 of the family's 1533-position model. The record is from RNAcentral. Lineage: Bacteria; Bacillati; Bacillota; Clostridia; Lachnospirales; Lachnospiraceae.